This 253-nucleotide ribosomal RNA is filed under the name uncultured bacterium. RNAcentral's name for it is "partial 16S ribosomal RNA". It matches the Rfam family "Bacterial small subunit ribosomal RNA", at positions 524 to 776 of the family's 1533-position model. The record is from RNAcentral.
UACGUAGGUGGCGAGCGUUGUCCGGAUUUACUGGGUGUAAAGGGCGUGUAGGCGGGCUUUUAAGUCAGAUGUGAAAUGCCGCAGCUUAACUGCGGAACUGCAUUUGAAACUGAAAGUCUUGAGUGUCGGAGAGGAAAGCGGAAUUCCUAGUGUAGCGGUGAAAUGCGUAGAUAUUAGGAAGAACACCGGUGGCGAAGGCGGCUUUCUGGACGAUAACUGACGCUGAGGCGCGAAAGCGUGGGGAGCAAACAGG